UUGCUGUCACUUAUAGAUGGACCCGCGCCGUAUUAGCUAGUUGGUAAGGUAACGGCUUACCAAGGCAACGAUACGUAGCCGACCUGAGAGGGUGAUCGGCCACACUGGAACUGAGACACGGUCCAGACUCCUACGGGAGGCAGCAGUAGGGAAUCUUCCGCAAUGGGCGAAAGCCUGACGGAGCAACGCCGCGUGAGUGAUGAAGGUCUUCGGAUCGUAAAACUCUGUUAUUAGGGAAGAACAAGUGCGUAGGUAACUAUGCGCACCUUGACGGUACCUAAUCAGAAAGCCACGGCUAACUACGUGCCAGCAGCCGCGGUAAUACGUAGGUGGCAAGCGUUAUCCGGAAUUAUUGGGCGUAAAGCGCGCGUAGGCGGUUUUUUAAGUCUGAUGUGAAAGCCCACGGCUCAACCGUGGAGGGUCAUUGGAAACUGGAAAACUUGAGUGCAGAAGAGGAAAGUGGAAUUCCAUGUGUAGCGGUGAAAUGCGCAGAGAUAUGGAGGAACACCAGUGGCGAAGGCGACUUUCUGGUCUGCAACUGACGCUGAUGUGCGAAAGCGUGGGGAUCAAACAGGAUUAGAUACCCUGGUAGUCCACGCCGUAAACGAUGAGUGCUAAGUGUUAGGGGGUUUCCGCCCCUUAGUGCUGCAGCUAACGCAUUAAGCACUCCGCCUGGGGAGUACGGCCGCAAGGCUGAAACUCAAAGGAAUUGACGGGGACCCGCACAAGCGGUGGAGCAUGUGGUUUAAUUCGAAGCAACGCGAAGAACCUUACCAAAUCUUGACAUCCUUUGACCGCUCUAGAGAUAGAGUCUUCCCCUUCGGGGGACAAAGUGACAGGUGGUGCAUGGUUGUCGUCAGCUCGUGUCGUGAGAUGUUGGGUUAAGUCCCGCAACGAGCGCAACCCUUAAGCUUAGUUGCCAGCAUUAAGUUGGGCACUCUAAGUUGACUGCCGGUGACAAACCGGAGGAAGGUGGGGAUGACGUCAAAUCAUCAUGCCCCUUAUGAUUUGGGCUACACACGUGCUACAAUGGACAGUACAAAGGGCAGCGAAACCGCGAGGUCAAGCAAAUCCCAUAAAGCUGUUCUCAGUUCGGAUUGUAGUCUGCAACUCGACUACAUGAAGCUGGAAUCGCUAGUAAUCGUAGAUCAGCAUGCUACGGUGAAUACGUUCCCGGGUCUUGUACACACCGCCCGUCACACCACGAGAGUUCGUAACACCCGAAGCCGGUGGAGUAACCUUUUAGGAGCUAGCCGUCGAAGGUGGGACGAAUGAUUGGGGUGAAGUCGUAACAAGGUAGCCGUAUCGGAAGGUGCGGCUGGAUCACCUCCUUUCUA
RNAcentral lists this ribosomal RNA (1337 nucleotides) under Staphylococcus condimenti. Its description in RNAcentral is "bacterial SSU rRNA". It matches the Rfam family "Bacterial small subunit ribosomal RNA", at positions 209 to 1533 of the family's 1533-position model. The record is from RNAcentral. Lineage: Bacteria; Bacillati; Bacillota; Bacilli; Caryophanales; Staphylococcaceae.